AUACGGAGGGGGUUAGCGUUGUUCGGAAUUACUGGGCGUAAAGCGCACGUAGGCGGAUUGGAAAGUUGGGGGUGAAAUCCCAGGGCUCAACCCUGGAACUGCCUCCAAAACUAACAGUCUAGAGUUCGAGAGAGGUGAGUGGAAUUCCAAGUGUAGAGGUGAAAUUCGUAGAUAUUUGGAGGAACACCAGUGGCGAAGGCGGUUCACUGGCUCGAUACUGACGCUGAGGUGCGAAAGCGUGGGGAGCAAACAGGAUUAGAAACCCUAGUAGUCC
RNAcentral lists this ribosomal RNA (274 nucleotides) under uncultured bacterium. RNAcentral's name for it is "partial 16S ribosomal RNA". It matches the Rfam family "Bacterial small subunit ribosomal RNA", at positions 523 to 796 of the family's 1533-position model. The record is from RNAcentral.